AAUGAAGUCGAGCGAAGACGAGGAGCUUGCUCCUCUGACGUUAGCGGCGGACGGGUGAGUAACACGUGGAUAACCUACCUAUAAGACUGGGAUAACUUCGGGAAACCGGAGCUAAUACCGGAUAAUAUAUUGAACCGCAUGGUUCAAUAGUGAAAGACGGUUUUGCUGUCACUUAUAGAUGGAUCCGCGCCGCAUUAGCUAGUUGGUAAGGUAACGGCUUACCAAGGCAACGAUGCGUAGCCGACCUGAGAGGGUGAUCGGCCACACUGGAACUGAGACACGGUCCAGACUCCUACGGGAGGCAGCAGUAGGGAAUCUUCCGCAAUGGGCGAAAGCCUGACGGAGCAACGCCGCGUGAGUGAUGAAGGUCUUCGGAUCGUAAAACUCUGUUAUUAGGGAAGAACAAAUGUGUAAGUAACUAUGCACGUCUUGACGGUACCUAAUCAGAAAGCCACGGCUAACUACGUGCCAGCAGCCGCGGUAAUACGUAGGUGGCAAGCGUUAUCCGGAAUUAUUGGGCGUAAAGCGCGCGUAGGCGGUUUUUUAAGUCUGAUGUGAAAGCCCACGGCUCAACCGUGGAGGGUCAUUGGAAACUGGAAAACUUGAGUGCAGAAGAGGAAAGUGGAAUUCCAUGUGUAGCGGUGAAAUGCGCAGAGAUAUGGAGGAACACCAGUGGCGAAGGCGACUUUCUGGUCUGUAACUGACGCUGAUGUGCGAAAGCGUGGGGAUCAAACAGGAUUAGAUACCCUGGUAGUCCACGCCGUAAACGAUGAGUGCUAAGUGUUAAGGGGGUUUCCGCCCCUUAGUGCUGCAGCUAACGCAUUAAGCACUCCGCCUGGGGAGUACGACCGCAAGGUUGAAACUCAAAGGAAUUGACGGGGACCCGCACAAGCGGUGGAGCAUGUGGUUUAAUUCGAAGCAACGCGAAGAACCUUACCAAAUCUUGACAUCCUCUGACCCCUCUAGAGAUAGAGUUUUCCCCUUCGGGGGACAGAGUGACAGGUGGUGCAUGGUUGUCGUCAGCUCGUGUCGUGAGAUGUUGGGUUAAGUCCCGCAACGAGCGCAACCCUUAAGCUUAGUUGCCAUCAUUAAGUUGGGCACUCUAAGUUGACUGCCGGUGACAAACCGGAAGAAAGGGGGGGAUGACGUCAAAUCAUCAUGCCCCUUAUGAUUUGGGCUACACACGUGCUACAAUGGACAAUACAAAGGGUACGAAACC
Molecule: ribosomal RNA, 1219 nt
Filed under: Staphylococcus epidermidis
Lineage: Bacteria; Bacillati; Bacillota; Bacilli; Caryophanales; Staphylococcaceae
Description: bacterial SSU rRNA
Rfam family: Bacterial small subunit ribosomal RNA
Source: RNAcentral